RNAcentral lists this long non-coding RNA (930 nucleotides) under Marmota monax (woodchuck). Lineage: Eukaryota; Metazoa; Chordata; Mammalia; Rodentia; Sciuridae. The record is from RNAcentral.
CCUCUCGCUAGGCCCCGCCCCCUCCGCCGCCUCGCUCCGCCCAGGCCCCGCCCCUCGUUCCCUCCCCCAACCCCGCUCCUUAACUGAGCUCGCCAGGUACGACUAGCACGCACCACCUUCAUUCCCUCACUGCAGGGAAUGAGAAGGGUUAUUAGCACAGGAGAAAGUAGUUUUCUGAAAUCAUGGGCUAGUUAAGGGAAGCAUAUUCUGAACCAUCAUUUUCCUACCUCCCUGCACUCCUUGGCCUGUGCCGUGGAAUCUUUGCCUUAAGUAAGCUGCGCAAGUGAAUUCAAGUGUUCUGCCUCCUUAGAUUUGGCUGGAAGGUGUGGCAGGUCAUUGCAGUGUGGGGUACUGCUUUACUCCUCUGGUUCGGAGCUGUCGGUUAAACGUGCUUGAUAAACCUACGGGUUGUUUUAUUACAUGGUGCAUGGCCAGGAGGUGAGAACAGCAAGAAGCCCACCAUCUCCUGCAAGUAGAAUGACCCUUCUGGAGACAUGGGUCCUUAGAAGAGUUCAACCUCUCAACGAAAGGUGUUUGGCCAAACCAUCAGCUGAGGUGGAAUUCAGAACAACUCUUCUAGAAACUCCAGAUAGCAAUUUUGUGUAGGUUCUCAUCAAAGCACCUUUUCUGAGAAUUUUCUGCUGCCUAACUUUUAUCAGAGCUCAACCUGGAAAGUCUAUAUUUAGGAAAACUAUUUUUUAAAUGUGCUGCUGUUGAGUAUAUUCCUAUUGCCACACAAAUUCUGCUCUUAUACAUUAUGUUUUUUAGUCCUGAACGCAAGUUCCUUCAAUGUUACACCUGCUCAGGUGUUAUCGAAAGUAGAAGGUAAAAGCCAGUUGAAUUAAUUUGCUACCUCUUCUGUAGGAAUGACAUUGAGAGCACCUUUCACUGUGCCUUUUGUAAAGUGACACAUGGGGAAUUUCUCUUGCC